This 308-nucleotide RNase P RNA is filed under the name Candidatus Amesiibacteriota bacterium. RNAcentral's name for it is "Candidatus Amesbacteria bacterium (sediment metagenome) RNase P RNA component class A". It matches the Rfam family "Bacterial RNase P class A". Rfam says of the family: Ribonuclease P (RNase P) is a ubiquitous endoribonuclease, found in archaea, bacteria and eukarya as well as chloroplasts and mitochondria. Its best characterised activity is the generation of mature 5'-ends of tRNAs by cleaving the 5'-leader elements of precursor-tRNAs. Cellular RNase Ps are ribonucleoproteins. Lineage: Bacteria; Candidatus Amesiibacteriota. The record is from RNAcentral.
GCUAGGGGCCGGGGAAUUACUUCGGUAUUACACCGGAGAGGAAAGUCCGGACAGCAGAAAGCAGGGUGUCCACCGAAAGGCGGAGAUACUAUCGAAAGAUAGUAGCCAGUUAGAGCAACAGUGACGAUGCGUGCGGCGCCGCGUGAAACGACCAAGCGACUGGGUUCCCGGUGUUACACCGGGGGGCAAUCCUCCCCGCUGCAAUCUUCGAUUAGCUCGUUUGAGGCGCUUUCCCGAGAGCUAAGGUCAAGAGCAUUAGAGAGAUUAUUUCCGAGAAACAGAAUCCGGCUUACGAACCUCUAGCGCCA